Molecule: ribosomal RNA, 1136 nt
Rfam family: Bacterial small subunit ribosomal RNA
UCCGUAGCUGGUUCUGAGAGGAUGAUCAGCCACAUUGGGAUUGAGACACGGCCCGAACUCCUACGGGAGGCAGCAGUGGGGAAUAUUGGACAAUGGGGGCAACCCUGAUCCAGCCAUGCCGCGUGUGUGAAGAAGGCCCUCGGGUUGUAAAGCACUUUCAGCGAGGAAGAACGCCUAGUGGUUAAUACCCGUUAGGAAAGACAUCACUCGCAGAAGAAGCACCGGCUAACUCCGUGCCAGCAGCCGCGGUAAUACGGAGGGUGCAAGCGUUAAUCGGAAUUACUGGGCGUAAAGCGCGCGUAGGUGGCUUGAUAAGCCGGUUGUGAAAGCCCCGGGCUCAACCUGGGAACGGCAUCCGGAACUGUGAGGCUAGAGUGCAGGAGAGGAAGGUAGAAUUCCCGGUGUAGCGGUGAAAUGCGUAGAGAUCGGGAGGAAUACCAGUGGCGAAGGCGGCCUUCUGGACUGACACUGACACUGAGGUGCGAAAGCGUGGGUAGCAAACAGGAUUAGAUACCCUGGUAGUCCACGCCGUAAACGAUGUCGACCAGCCGUUGGGUGCCUAGAGCACUUUGUGGCGAAGUUAACGCGAUAAGUCGACCGCCUGGGGAGUACGGCCGCAAGGUUAAAACUCAAAUGAAUUGACGGGGGCCCGCACAAGCGGUGGAGCAUGUGGUUUAAUUCGAUGCAACGCGAAGAACCUUACCUACCCUUGACAUCGACAGAAGCCUGGAGAGAUCCGGGUGUGCCUUCGGGAACUGUCAGACAGGUGCUGCAUGGCUGUCGUCAGCUCGUGUUGUGAAAUGUUGGGUUAAGUCCCGUAACGAGCGCAACCCUUGUCCUUAUUUGCCAGCGCGUAAUGGCGGGAACUCUAAGGAGACUGCCGGUGACAAACCGGAGGAAGGUGGGGACGACGUCAAGUCAUCAUGGCCCAUACGGGUAGGGCUACACACGUGCUACAAUGGCCGGUACAAAGGGCGGCGAGCUCGCGAGAGUCAGCGAAUCCCUUAAAGCCGGUCUCAGUCCGGAUCGGAGUCUGCAACUCGACUCCGUGAAGUCGGAAUCGCUAGUAAUCGUGCAUCAGAAUGGCACGGUGAAUACGUUCCCGGGCCUUGUACACACCGCCCGUCACACCACGU